This 492-nucleotide ribosomal RNA is filed under the name uncultured bacterium. Its description in RNAcentral is "partial 16S ribosomal RNA". It matches the Rfam family "Bacterial small subunit ribosomal RNA", at positions 29 to 507 of the family's 1533-position model. The record is from RNAcentral.
AGUGAACGCUGGCGGUAGGCCUAACACAUGCAAGUCGAACGGCAGCACAAUAAGAGCUUGCUCUUACGGGUGGCGAGUGGCGGACGGGUGAGGAAUACAUCGGAAUCUACUUUUUCGUGGGGGAUAACGUAGGGAAACUUACGCUAAUACCGCAUACGACCUACGGGUGAAAGCAGGGGAUCUUCGGACCUUGCGCGAUUGAAUGAGCCGAUGUCGGAUUAGCUAGUUGGCGGGGUAAAGGCCCACCAAGGCGACGAUCUGUAGCUGGUCUGAGAGGAUGAUCAGCCACACUGGAACUGAGACACGGUCCAGACUCCUACGGGAGGCAGCAGUGGGGAAUAUUGGACAAUGGGCGCAAGCCUGAUCCAGCCAUACCGCGUGGGUGAAGAAGGCCUUCGGGUUGUAAAGCCCUUUUGUUGGGAAAGAAAAGCAGCAGGUUAAUACCCCGCUGUUCUGACGGUACCCAAAGAAUAAGCACCGGCUAACUUCGUG